ACGCACGCUGGCGGCGUGCUUAACACCUGCCAGUCGAACGGAAAGGCCCUGCUUUUGUGGGGUGCUCGAGUGGCGAACGGGUGAGUAACACGUGAGUAACCUGCCCUUGACUUUGGGAUAACUUCAGGAAACUGGGGCUAAUACCGGAUAGGAGCUCCUGCUGCAUGGUGGGGGUUGGAAAGUUUCGGCGGUUGGGGAUGGACUCGCGGCUUAUCAGCUUGUUGGUGGGGUAGUGGCUUACCAAGGCUUUGACGGGUAGCCGGCCUGAGAGGGUGACCGGCUACAUUGGGACUGAGAUACGGCCCAGACUCCUACGGGAGGCAGCAGUGGGGAAUAUUGCACAAUGGGCGGAAGCCUGAUGCAGCAACGCCGCGUGCGGGAUGACGGCCUUCGGGUUGUAAACCGCUUUCGCCUGUGACGAAGCGUGAGUGACGGUAAUGGGUAAAGAAGCACCGGCUAACUACGUG
Molecule: ribosomal RNA, 467 nt
Filed under: uncultured bacterium
Lineage: Bacteria
Description: partial 16S ribosomal RNA
Rfam family: Bacterial small subunit ribosomal RNA
Source: RNAcentral